GGUAGUCCACGCCGUAAACGAUGUCGACUUGGAGGUUGUGCCCUUGAGGCGUGGCUUCCGGAGCUAACGCGUUAAGUCGACCGCCUGGGGAGUACGGCCGCAAGGUUAAAACUCAAAUGAAUUGACGGGGGCCCGCACAAGCGGUGGAGCAUGUGGUUUAAUUCGAUGCAACGCGAAGAACCUUACCUGGUCUUGACAUCCACGGAAGUUUUCAGAGAUGAGAAUGUGCCUUCGGGAACCGUGAGACAGGUGCUGCAUGGCUGUCGUCAGCUCGUGUUGUGAAAUGUUGGGUUAAGUCCCGCAACGAGCGCAACCCUUAUCCUUUGUUGCCAGCGGUCCGGCCGGGAACUCAAAGGAGACUGCCAGUGACAAACUGGAGGAAGGUGGGGAUGACGUCAAGUCAUCAUGGCCCUUACGACCAGGGCUACACACGUGCUACAAUGGCGCAUACAAAGAGAAGCGACCUCGCGAGAGCAAGCGGACCUCAUAAAGUGCGUCGUAGUCCGGAUUGGAGUCUGCAACUCGACUCCAUGAAGUCGGAAUCGCUAGUAAUCGUGGAUCAGAAUGCCACGGUGAAUACGUUCCCGGGCCUUGUACACACCGCCCGUCACACCAUGGGAGUGGGUUGCAAAAGAAGUAGGUAGCUUAACCUUCGGGAGGGCGCUUACCACUUUGUGAUUCAUGACUGGGGUG
Molecule: ribosomal RNA, 693 nt
Filed under: Escherichia sp. ZZ8K14
Lineage: Bacteria; Pseudomonadati; Pseudomonadota; Gammaproteobacteria; Enterobacterales; Enterobacteriaceae
Description: bacterial SSU rRNA
Rfam family: Bacterial small subunit ribosomal RNA
Source: RNAcentral